RNAcentral lists this ribosomal RNA (566 nucleotides) under uncultured bacterium. RNAcentral describes it as "bacterial SSU rRNA". It matches the Rfam family "Bacterial small subunit ribosomal RNA", at positions 28 to 640 of the family's 1533-position model. The record is from RNAcentral.
AACGAACGCUGGCGGCAGGCUUAACACAUGCAAGUCGAACGCCCCGCAAGGGGAGUGGCAGACGGGUGAGUAACGCGUGGGAACAUACCCUUUCCUGCGGAAUAGCUCCGGGAAACUGGAAUUAAUACCGCAUACGCCCUACGGGGGAAAGAUUUAUCGGGGAAGGAUUGGCCCGCGUUGGAUUAGCUAGUUGGUGGGGUAAAGGCCUACCAAGGCGACGAUCCAUAGCUGGUCUGAGAGGAUGAUCAGCCACAUUGGGACUGAGACACGGCCCAAACUCCUACGGGAGGCAGCAGUGGGGAAUAUUGGACAAUGGGCGCAAGCCUGAUCCAGCCAUGCCGCGUGAGUGAUGAAGGCCUUAGGGUUGUAAAGCUCUUUCACCGGAGAAGAUAAUGACGGUAUCCGGAGAAGAAGCCCCCGGCUAACUUCGUGCCAGCAGCCGCGUAAUACGAAGGGGGCUAGCGUUGUUCGGAAUUACUGGGCGUAAAGCGCACGUAGGCGGAUAUUUAAGUCAGGGGUGAAAUCCCCAGGAGCUCAACUCUGGAACUGCCUUUGAUACUGGGUAU